RNAcentral lists this ribosomal RNA (441 nucleotides) under uncultured bacterium. RNAcentral describes it as "partial 16S ribosomal RNA". It matches the Rfam family "Bacterial small subunit ribosomal RNA", at positions 338 to 795 of the family's 1533-position model. The record is from RNAcentral.
CCUACGGGGGGCAGCAGUGGGGAAUAUUGCACAAUGGGGGAAACCCUGAUGCAGCGACGCCGCGUGAGUGAAGAAGUAUUUCGGUAUGAAAAGCUCUAUCAGCAGGGAAGAAGAAAGACGGUACCUGACUAAGAAGCCCCGGCUAACUACGUGCCAGCAGCCGCGGUAAUACGUAGGGGGCAAGCGUUAGCCGGAUUUACUGGGGGGAAAGGGAGCGUAGACGGCUGUGCAAGUCUGAAGUGAAAGCCCAGGGCUCAACCCUGGGACUGCUUUGGAAACUGUGGAGCUAGAGUGCUGGAGAGGUAAGUGGAAUUCCUAGUGUAGCGGGGAAAUGCGGAGAUAUUAGGAGGAACACCAGUGGCGAAGGCGGCUUACUGGACAGUAACUGACGUUGAGGCUCGAAAGCGUGGGGAGCAAACAGGAUUAGAUACCCCAGGAGUC